CGGAUUGCAGGCUGCAACCCGCCUGCAUGAAGCCGGAAUCGCUAGUAAUCGCGGAUCAGAAUGCCGCGGUGAAUACGUUCCCGGGUCUUGUACACACCGCCCGUCACACCAUGGGAGUCGAUAACGCCCGAAGUCAGUGACCCAACCGAAAGGGGGGAGCUGCCGAAGGCGGGAUGGAUAACUGGGGUGAAGUCGUAACAAGGUAGC
Molecule: ribosomal RNA, 207 nt
Filed under: uncultured bacterium
Lineage: Bacteria
Description: partial 16S ribosomal RNA
Rfam family: Bacterial small subunit ribosomal RNA
Source: RNAcentral